GGGCUCAUUAUUUUCUGGUUAAGAGUGUGGUGCUGAUAAUGCCAAGGUUUGCAGGUUCGAUCCCCGCGUGGGACA
Podarcis lilfordi (Lilford's wall lizard) is the source of this 75-nucleotide non-coding RNA. The record is from the annotation of a GenBank genome assembly. Lineage: Eukaryota; Metazoa; Chordata; Lepidosauria; Squamata; Lacertidae.